Molecule: non-coding RNA, 113 nt
Organism: Lactobacillus gasseri
Lineage: Bacteria; Bacillati; Bacillota; Bacilli; Lactobacillales; Lactobacillaceae
Source: Rfam
GAGAACAAGAAGAAGCUCCCGCUUCUCGCCUAAGUUAAUAUUACCUCUGGGCUGAUCGAUAAUAUCUGUUGAUUAAAAGCGGGCGUUAACUUUGCCCGCUUUUUUCUUGUCCU